Monodelphis domestica (gray short-tailed opossum) is the source of this 2884-nucleotide RNA transcript. It is a transcript of the gene named zinc finger protein 706, with no coding region annotated. The record is from RefSeq and is a predicted model, not a curated record. Lineage: Eukaryota; Metazoa; Chordata; Mammalia; Didelphimorphia; Didelphidae.
AAUGGAGGGGUGGAGGCGGGGCAGGUUGCGGCGGAGGAUGAGGAUACAAUUGCGACUGCGCGGCUCAGUCUGGACCGGGCCAAACCAGGCCAAACCAGACCAGCCCGGGCCGGGGCCAGGGCGCCUAAGGACUCUCGUUCGUGAAACAAACAACCUGACUGGAUCGGAAGAUAUGGCUCGUGGACAGCAGAAGAUUCAGUCUCAGCAGAAAAAUGCCAAAAAACAAGCUGGACAAAAAAAGAAACAAGGACAUGAUCAGAAGGCUGCUGCUAAGGCUGCCUUGAUAUAUACCUGCACUGUCUGUAGGACACAAAUGCCGGACCCCAAGACCUUCAAACAGCACUUUGAGAGCAAACAUCCUAAGACUCCACUUCCUCCAGAAUUGGCUGAUGUUCAGGCAUAAAGUUGUUUACAGCCAAAAAAAUAAAAGAAAGGGGAAGCUGAUCAGCCCUGAUCCUGGAAUGGAAAAGAUAAAUCAGCUUGAAGAGAAUAGUUAAUACAACAACCGUAUUUUGAGAGACUUUGCUCCCAGAAAUGAUGCAGGCUAAUGUGGGUGAGCAGGAUUAUGCAGGUGAAUUCAUGGCACCUAUUGACUCUUCUACUAUCUCAGACCUUAGGUAACAAACCUGCAGCUGCUUUUCUAACAAACUGUUGAUCAGCAAAAAUAAAGGGGCUACAGAAACUCAUUUUUAUGCUGUUCCCUUUUGGGCUUCAUGCAAAGACAAUUCUGUGUAAAUGUACAGUUGGGCCUUGAUUUGGAAAUUCUGAAAAUCAGUCCAUCCUUGUUAUAAAAAUUUUUUUACAAUUGUAAUUAUAUUGAUGUUCAUAUUGUGUAAAAUAACUCAUUUAAUAAAGUAGUACUUUGAUUUUACAACAUCACAGGAUAAAUGCUUGUAGAAGUUCUGUUCCACCUUUACGCAUCUGCCUUAAAAUCUAAUGAAGACAUCAGCUAGAGUUGCAAAUGCUUUAUCUCUUACCCCUUUCCCAUCAAGUUUAUUGGCUAUUCAAACUAAAGCAGAAUCAUUAGUACAUGUAUUCUAUUGCAUUACUUUAGGUAGACGGCUAAUGAAACAAAAGAAGCAUUGAUUAACUGCUUUCAUAUACUUGAUAAAUAUUUUAGUUUGUGGGUUUGUUUAGUAAAACUCCUUAAGAAUUAUGUGCCAUUUCCCUUUCUCUAGUUGUGCUUGUAUUGGAUGUACCACUACUGAAAACAACCUGGGAUAGGUUGUGAGAAGGGAAUUGCAAAUUUUGAUAAAAAUAAUCAUCUUGUUGACCCUGAAUGGGAUAUAAAUAAUUGGUUUAUGAACAGCUUACAAGUAUUUGGUAAAUGAUUGAAGGAAUUGAAUUUUCCUUGUGAAAAAUAAGGUAUGAAGUCUGCCAUAGUGGGUGAAAAAUUAUUUAACCAUUUUACAUAAGAGUAAGCUUGGAAAAUUUAUUACUAUAAGUUGGUUUGUCUUUGUUUUAUAAUAUGUCAGUUUCUUUCAGAAUUUUUCUAGAUAGUUUUAAAUUGAAAAUUAUUCUGAAAGGAUUCUUUUAAAAAUUUGCCAAAGUAAUUAGAACAGGAAUUAAUUUAAAUGGACCAGUUUUAUGACUAGUAAAUGUCAUGAACAGGAAGAAAGGGAAUGGCAGACUUGAGCUAAGUACCCAUAUUGGUGUCAUUGACUUUAAGAGUAUAUUUUAAUCUUUUUAAACUCUUAAAGACCAUACACAUUGGGUUUGGGUUUAAGGUCUUAGACUAGUUUUAAAUCCACAUACUUAUUAUAUAGGUAUGUUAAAGGUAUUUGUGGAGAAGAGAAUUUAAAUGAAGUAAAACCCUACCAGCUGAAGAGAGGCAAUGUUUAGAAGUGGAUCCUCAACAAUUUAUUUUAAUCAGAACUAAAAGAUUAAGUUUGUUAAUACUGUAUUUUAACGGAUUUUUUAAAUGAAGAUAGGGAGAAUAGUAUUCAAACAUAAACUUUUAGGGAGUAGCACACACUGGUAGCAGCUGGCUCUUACACCAGAUUCUGUCCUUUAUCUAAUUGUCACUGUAAAUUCUUUCUAUGGUUUUGCAUCAUCCACCACAUUGUAUGUAUUACUGUUUAAAAUGAGGUUUUAAGGAAAAGAUCUUAUGGAGAUAGUGGGUGAGAAAAUUCUUACUCUUUACCUGACCAAAAGAAAACCUUUUAAUACCCUUUUCCAUUCCCUAAAUGUUACAUGACUUGGUUAUAUGGUAUCCUAACAUUGAUUCACCAGAAGGUUAAAAUUCUGCCUUUUAAUUCAUGUGCUAGGUAUUAUUCUGGUUAAUUUCAGUUAAAAGGAAGUAUUUGAAUAUGUAUGUUUUUUCAAUGUUUAGUGAAGUUUUUCCAUUUAAAAAGAAUUAUCUUUGAAUUUCUUUUUUUCUUUCAGUUGCCUUACUAAUUGUAUAAUUUUUUAAUAAAAGAUUUUUAUGUUUGUAUUCAGUUCAUUAUGAGAAGCUAAAGAACCACAUUUAAAGCUGUAUCACAGUGAUAGGAAAAAUAACAUUUAUCUUGCAUAAAACCGUUAAUUCUCAAACUUAAUAUGUGAAUUGUUCUAUCAGCUACUCUUUUUUUUUUUUUGGUUGUCAUGUGUGAGUUAAAUCUUCAGCAGGGGAAAAUCUUUUACGUUUCAGAGCCCUAACUGAAUAUUUUUGUAAUUUGAAGAUUCUAUAACAGAUCUAAUUGUUAUGCUGUCUUCAAAAGACUUAAUAAAAUAUAUUGAGGGAGAAUUUUUUUUCAUUUAUAAGGAGAUAUCAGUUGCUGAAGGGACUGGGGUUAAUAGUAAAUUUGUUUCCACUCUUUCAUAUGACUAUACCCCCUGUUAAUUAACACACUGGAGGCUCAGUUGUGUGCUGUAAUGUCUUAUUAAAGAAAAUAUUAAAGAAAAA